This 253-nucleotide ribosomal RNA is filed under the name uncultured bacterium. RNAcentral describes it as "partial 16S ribosomal RNA". It matches the Rfam family "Bacterial small subunit ribosomal RNA", at positions 524 to 776 of the family's 1533-position model. The record is from RNAcentral.
UACGGAGGGUGCAAGCGUUAUCCGGAUUCACUGGGUUUAAAGGGUGCGUAGGAGGGCAGGUAAGUCAGUGGUGAAAUCCCCGAGCUUAACUUGGGAACUGCCGUUGAUACUAUCUGUCUUGAAUGUUGUGGAGGUGAGCGGAAUAUGUCAUGUAGCGGUGAAAUGCUUAGAUAUGACAUAGAACACCAAUUGCGAGGGCAGCUCGCUACACAAUUAUUGACUCUGAGGCACGAAAGCGUGGGGAUCAAACAGG